UACGUAGGGUGCGAGCGUUAAUCGGAAUUACUGGGCGUAAAGCGAGCGCAGACGGUUACUUAAGCAGGAUGUGAAAUCCCCGGGCUCAACCUGGGAACUGCGUUCUGAACUGGGUGACUAGAGUGUGUCAGAGGGAGGUAGAAUUCCACGUGUAGCAGUGAAAUGCGUAGAGAUGUGGAGGAAUACCGAUGGCGAAGGCAGCCUCCUGGGAUAACACUGACGUUCAUGCUCGAAAGCGUGGGUAGCAAACAGGAUUAGAUACCCCCGUAGUCC
Molecule: ribosomal RNA, 273 nt
Filed under: uncultured Neisseria sp.
Lineage: Bacteria; Pseudomonadati; Pseudomonadota; Betaproteobacteria; Neisseriales; Neisseriaceae
Description: partial 16S ribosomal RNA
Rfam family: Bacterial small subunit ribosomal RNA
Source: RNAcentral